RNAcentral lists this ribosomal RNA (2067 nucleotides) under Triticum aestivum (bread wheat). RNAcentral describes it as "partial small subunit ribosomal RNA". The record is from RNAcentral. Lineage: Eukaryota; Viridiplantae; Streptophyta; Magnoliopsida; Poales; Poaceae.
AUGGCCGGUGUGAUGGACAUACCCAUCAAUAGGAGCGUCUUAGAUGACCUUCCCGUGCCAUGUCAUCUCAAGCUGUUCAUGGCGGCAAGCUAUGGCGAUAUGAAGAAGCUACAAGAGCUUCUGAGCUCGUCCACCUCGUUGGCGAGUGAGGAGGCCGGCGACUCCGCGGCACUGGCGGUUACCAGUGAGGAGAACUCGGCACUCCAUGUGGUAGCAACCGACGGGGACAGCCAGAAUUACCGUGACUGUGCAAAGGUGAUCCACGGCAAGGCCAGGCAGCUGUUGUUCAAGCGCAACAGGCACGGCGACACGCCGCUGCACCGCGCCGCCCGGGCCGGGAACACCGGCAUGGUCUCUUACCUGAUCGAGCUCGCGGCCGGCGACGGGGUGGCCAAAGACAUGGUGAGGCUGCAGAACAACGAUGGGAGGACGGCGUUGCAUGAAGCGAUCGGCUCUGACGACCGAGAAAUGGUGGAUGAACUAAUGUCAAAAGACAAGGAGCUGGCCCAAGUGAAUGCAUCUGAUGGUACUUCACCACUGUUCCUAGCAAUCUCGCUGGGUCAUCACAGCAUUGCUCGGCAGUUGCACGGGUAUGACAAAGACUUGUCCUACUCUGGCAAAAAUGGACAAAAUGCCUUACAUGCUGCCGUUCUUCACAACAAUAGAAUGGCACGGGAGUUGCUACUCUGGACCAAGGAAAACCAGGAAAAAAGAAAGAAGCUCGUUGAACAGCAGGACGAUUGUGGAAGUACGCCAAUGCACGUGGCUGCAUCAGCAGAAGACCCCUCUUUGGAGUUUUUCCUUUUCGCUUUUGUUGACAAGAGCAUGGAAAACAGUUCCUUCAGCCUCUACUAUGAUAUUGCACCAUCCAAGUUGUUAUACCACUUCUAUGCUCGGAGGGAACACCCAAUGUGUCUACUGGCGGAUGUUGAGCCUUCUUUGGCAUUUCAGCCGGACAAAGAGGGGUCGUUUCCGGUGCAUGUGGCUGCCUCGGCAGGCAGCUUGGUCCCUAUUAUCAUCUUGCUCUUCCGCCACCCUUCUGCCUGUGCCGCCUGUGCCAGAUUGCGUGAUGCUGAGGGAAGGACCUUCCUUCAUGUUGCUGUUGAGAUGAAGAGGCUUAAUGUGGUUAGGUUUGUGUGCAACAGGUUAUCAGAGUUUAAGUCCGUCAUGAAUAUACAGGACAAUAAGGGGAACACUGCUCUGCACCGAGCUGUUGAUGGGGGGAACUGGGAUAUAUUCGGAACCCUCAUCUGGAACCCCCAUGUUGCAUUAAAUUUAGCAAACAAGGAUGGAAAGACCCCCAUGGAUAUUGCGGAGAUAAAAGCUCCUUCAGCUUCGGGAUUUAAUUUUGGAAUGCAUGCACGGCGUAGGAUACUUGGGUCUCUAACCUUUGCAAACGCUCAGAACGGCAACAAACGGCGCGAUCUUUGUGCCAUAGAACAGGAAAAGACAUUUGAUGAGACGGUCGAGGACGGGAAAAUAACAAGCUUCGCACAGAUUGUGGGCAUUGGAUCUGUGCUGGUGGCGACGGCGUCGUUCACUGCAGCCUUCACCAUGCCUGAUCCCGGCAACUCGUACUACUACGCUUUCAAUGGGUUCGUCCUCUCCAACACACUGGCAUUCAUCUGCUCCGCUUUAGCCACCUUCAGUCUCAUAUACACCGGCGUAGCCGCACUCGACAUAGAGAAGCGGAUAGAGCUAGUAUCCUUCUCUCUGGCGCUGCUCAUAGGUGCAGGGAGAAGCUUCUGUGCCGCCUUCGCCUUCGCCCUGUAUGUGGAGCUUGACCCACUAAAUCACAGGGCAGCCAUCGUCUCCUGCACCAUGACAAUUGUUGCGCUGCUCGAUGCGGUUUGGUUCAUGAGGUCGAUAUUCACCGAUACAGCACUUGCUCUUAGGAGGGGAUGGGGCAAGCGGCAAAGCAUCGAAUGGAGAUCAGUGGGCGAGCGAUUGGUGAGACUGGCGACUAGAUUCCUAGCCAACAUUGUCUAUCUCUUCUGGCCCUACAUCGUAAUCUUCGGUCUCUUGGAAACUAGAAAGAAUAUCACUGGACACAACAAGCUGGGCUGA